AGAUUGAACGCUGGCGGCAGGCCUAACACAUGCAAGUCGAGCGGUAGAGAGGUGCUUGCACCUCUUGAGAGCGGCGGACGGGUGAGUAAUGCCUAGGAAUCUGCCUAGUGGUGGGGGAUAACGUUCGGAAACGGACGCUAAUACCGCAUACGUCCUACGGGAGAAAGCGGGGGACCUUCGGGCCUCGCGCCAUUAGAUGAGCCGUAGGUCGGAUUAGCUAGUUGGUGAGGUAAUGCUCGCCGAAGGCGACGUAUCCGUAACUCGGUCUGAGGAGGAUGAUCAGUCACACGUGGAACUGACGACACGGUCCAGACCUCCGUAACGGG
This 326-nucleotide ribosomal RNA is filed under the name uncultured soil bacterium. RNAcentral's name for it is "bacterial SSU rRNA". It matches the Rfam family "Bacterial small subunit ribosomal RNA", at positions 26 to 346 of the family's 1533-position model. The record is from RNAcentral.